GACGAACGCUGGCGGCGUGCUUAACACAUGCGAGUCGAACGGAAAGGCCCUGCUUUUGUGGGGUGCUCGAGUGGCGAACGGGUGAGUAACACGUGAGUAACCUGCCCUUGACUUUGGGAUAACUUCAGGAAACUGGGGCUAAUACCGGAUAGGAGCUCCUGCUGCAUGGUGGGGGUUGGAAAGUUUCGGCGGUUGGGGAUGGACUCGCGGCUUAUCAGCUUGUUGGUGGGGUAGUGGCUUACCAAGGCUUUGACGGGUAGCCGGCCUGAGAGGGUGACCGGCCACAUUGGGACUGAGAUACGGCCCAGACUCCUACGGGAGGCAGCAGUGGGGAAUAUUGCACAAUGGGCGGAAGCCUGAUGCAGCAACGCCGCGUGCGGGAUGACGGCCUUCGGGUUGUAGACCGCUUUCGCCUGUGACGAAGCGUGAGUGACGGUAAUGGGUAAAGAAGCACCGGCUAACUACGUG
RNAcentral lists this ribosomal RNA (468 nucleotides) under uncultured bacterium. Its description in RNAcentral is "partial 16S ribosomal RNA". It matches the Rfam family "Bacterial small subunit ribosomal RNA", at positions 28 to 507 of the family's 1533-position model. The record is from RNAcentral.